CUUAUCUUCUGAUUGAUGUGUUGUAUUUUUCUUGCAAAUUGAUGUAUGAUGUUUACGAUGGCAAAUUCUACAGUCGUAUUUAGAGCGACAAUCUGAUACUCUGUGCUUUACCAAAACAAUUAAAACACAAUUUCUUCUCUUUAAUAAUGGCUAUUCUUUUUUCAUGUUCGGCGACAUCCGUGCAGUCAUUGGAAAAGUGGUCCCCC
This 206-nucleotide long non-coding RNA is filed under the name Mytilus galloprovincialis (Mediterranean mussel). The record is from RNAcentral. Lineage: Eukaryota; Metazoa; Mollusca; Bivalvia; Mytilida; Mytilidae.